Cydia splendana is the source of this 1797-nucleotide long non-coding RNA. RefSeq lists it as uncharacterized. The record is from RefSeq and is a predicted model, not a curated record. NCBI's taxonomy places the organism in Eukaryota, Metazoa, Arthropoda, Insecta, Lepidoptera, Tortricidae. The transcript has 2 exons.
GUGAACAAAGUUUUGUACGGAACACUAAAAACCGGCCAAAUGAAAGUAGGCAAAUACAGGCACAAUUAAAACUAAAUACACAUAAGAACUUCAGAAUUUUGUACACUAUAUCGUCAAAAUUUUAGUCACGUCAGAUGACCAGAUUAAACGUGACAGUCCAAUUCUAAACUACCUACUCAUGUUACCUACUACAAUAUUCAAGUUGCAAUUUAGAUAACUGCACAGUCAGUUUCUUAUUUACAAGACAAUACACCGAUAACUUGACCUGCUAAUUAAUACAGUUAAGAGUUUUUUUUUUCGAGCCGAUAUAAAACUACGAUACGAGACUAAUCUGACGAUAUAGACUUUUUAAAUGAAAUGUAUAUAUGAGAAAUGUAGGCCAAAUUUAGUGUAAAAAUCAACUUAAUACGACGAUGCUUCCAUCCAUAUUACAACGUGCUUUUAAACGUAGGUUUAAUAAAUCUGUAACGAUUUGUUUUGUUUACAGUUUUUACACAAAACACCGAUUAGCUCCGUCCAAUUAAAUUGUUAAUAUGUCAAUUGUUCAAAUAAGUAUAUACCUAUCCUCACCCUUAUUGUAAUUCAGAUACAGUUUGAAGUUAUUAGGAGAGCUCUAGUAAAGCUGGUUAUACCUAUUAAUAGUAAAACACAUCGCACUAUGCUCUUCAAGCGUAAUUGCGCAUAAAUACCUGUUUGAAGCAAAAUGUAUUAUUAUUUAACUAUUACAUUGCGCAGGCCAUUGCAAAAUAGCCAGCCAAAGUAAUAUAGCUGAAUUAUGCCUACCCUGUGGUUUCGGUGAAUAUUAGUGCUGGACUGUUGGUGCAUCAUAUACUCUAAACAUUUCUCGAAUGUCCUCCUCCUGACGACUAGGUGUCAAAAUUUAGUAGGACGCAAGUCGUCAGGAGACUAGUAUUAUUGUGUGAUAUUUUUGAUUUGAAUAUUCAUCGAGCGAACUUUAUUUAAUCGUGUAAAGAUAUAUUAAAGUUGUAAAUUAACUAGUGAAUUUCCUUUAAUGAUUACACUACUACAGUGUUUAGUUUUUCUUAUUGGCUAAUCCACUUCACAGCGUACUUGACACAAAAGCAAUUGUUAGGUUUACCACAAAACACAGAAAUGACCACGUAGUAAAAAGAAGUUAGAAUCUUAGAGGUCCAAAGGAUUAUCGACUAUCUUUAUUAACUAUAGAUAUAGAUUACAAUAAUAAGUUAAGAACCACGCCUGGCGUCUACCGUCUACCCGAUAAGUGACCAUUCUCAUAUUAGUUUAUUACGUGGUCAUUUCCAUGUUUUGAGGUAAACAAAACAAUUGCUUUUUGUGUUCUCAAGUACGGUGUGAAUUGGAUUGGCCAAAAAGAAAAACGAAACACUAUUACUUACUUAAAUUUCUCUUAAUACAUAUAAAUUCAAAUUAAAAGUACCACAAAUCAGCUUGGACCAAACCAUAGGAAGUAAGCAGUUUAAAGGGCUAAUCAAUCUAAUCAUGGAAUAAAUUCAACAUUUUUUAACAAGAUAAUUAGUUCAAAGAAUUUACAAUGCACCAAUCUAAGUAAAAUCUUCGCCAAACCACGAUGAGAGCCGCAGAGUAAAGUCAAACCAGGUAUAUUUUGCGAAACGUUGCCAAUAGGCAAAUAAGUACCUGUCAAACAAUCUAACUCAUCCAAUUGUUAUGUAAUAUUUACUACAUACCGUGUACAGUAUUGAUUUGUAAUAAAUUUUCCAGUAAACAACAUUUGUAAAGAAUUUAAAUGAUUAUAUACUUAUGGCUUCAUUCCUAUCAAAAUAAAACAAUUCGAAAUAA